GGGGAUGUCAGGUAUCGACAGUCAGAGCUUUUUCUAAAUAUUCAGAGCGUGCUUAGCUAACCACGUUAAACUGGUUAAAAAAGACAAAUGCCAAAAAGGCAAGAGCAUUUACUUGGGCAACCCCAAGUUAUGCCCCAGUUAUGGCUUAAUAAAUAAGGCCGUAACCAUCGGUAGGCGGUGAGUCUUCAUAGCCGUUAACCGGUGUCAUGAACAUGAGGAUAGAAAUUAUUUGCUCCUGACAAAUAAUUUUGAAACAAAAUUAGGAUCGCCUCAAACGCUUUUGUCCGGUUUCUGAUGUUUGGGGUUAAAAAAAUAAAUCGGUCUAACUUUGUAAAUGUAUUUAGAAAAACUGAUUGGACAUGGGUUCAACUCCCAUCAUCUCCACUU
This 387-nucleotide transfer-messenger RNA is filed under the name Patescibacteria group. RNAcentral's name for it is "UBA12465 sp012800315 Standard tmRNA". It matches the Rfam family "transfer-messenger RNA". From Rfam's summary of the family: Bacterial tmRNA, also known as 10Sa RNA or SsrA, is named for its dual tRNA and mRNA-like properties. The record is from RNAcentral. RNAcentral also lists the same sequence under 1 other name.